Molecule: ribosomal RNA, 175 nt
Filed under: uncultured bacterium
Lineage: Bacteria
Description: partial 16S ribosomal RNA
Rfam family: Bacterial small subunit ribosomal RNA
Source: RNAcentral
UCUAGGGCUACACACGUCCUACAAUGGGGUCGACAGUGGGAUGCAAAGCCGCGAGGUGGAGCCAAUCCCCAAACGGCCUCUCAGUUCGGAUAGUAGUCUGCAACUCGACUACUUGAAGUCGGAAUCGCUAGUAAUGGCGGAUCAGCAUGCCGCCGUGAAUACGUUCCCGGGUCUU